This 41404-nucleotide long non-coding RNA is filed under the name Solanum tuberosum (potato). RNAcentral's name for it is "long non-coding RNA (STUB_LNC004468)". The record is from RNAcentral. Lineage: Eukaryota; Viridiplantae; Streptophyta; Magnoliopsida; Solanales; Solanaceae.
CCUGGCAUACUUUAUGUGAGGUUGAAUGUGACAUAAGAAUGUGUAGGAGCCAUACAUGGAAGAGCAACUCAAAAAAUAGCACAAUUCUUGCAGUAAUGUCAUUUACAACACAAUUUUUUUCUACUAAUAAGAAACAGCAAUAAAUUAGAAGUACAAAAUUCCAGAAAAAAAUUCUUUUCUUUUGCCAUUACCCGUCAGGAUUGUCAAUGGCAAAACCAGCUAUCUCUAAUGUUGUGGCGAUGGAGGGGUAUAUGACAUAACCAGGUAGACGGUGCUAAAUACGUGCAAAUUGCAACGUAUAGAGCUGUGUUCCUGAGAACCCUGUUCGUAUGAGCUUAAAUCUGCACGAGCAAUUUCUCCGGUACAAUAGGUUCCUGAGAAAUUAACCCCAGGGAAGUUCUCCAAGAAAGGUAAGCCGUCUACAUUAGGUUCACCAAAAAAUAACUUGCCACGACCACAGCAAGCAAACAUUAUACCACCAAACACAGGCUUCUUGUGCAUAGCUACGCUGUUGCUAUUAGUAUGAUCAUCACGUUCGUAGUUAAGAAGUUGCUUCAAAUGUCUGAAGUUAUUUGCAACAGUGUUGCAAGAAGCACGCGCCAAAUCAGAACUUGCAUGGUAAAACCGGAAGGAGUCUCCACUUCUGAUACCAACACCAUGGACAUACAGAUACUCCUCAUCACCUCUGCAAAUUCUUACAAUUAGUUACAGAAGUGAAGAGGGCAGCGAAAAGUGUACUAGACUAUGAGCAUAGUGGUUUCAACUAAAAUUAACAUGGCUUUCCACGUUAGCAGAAACAAACUUGGGUGAGGAGGACUCCCUAUUCUCUCCAAGAACCAUGUAAACUUCUUGGACAAUAGUCCCUCUACCAGCAUGUGCAAAUCAUCGCCUCAGGACACAAAAAAGGUAGUAAAGACGGAGAGCAGAACAUUCAAACAUCAUAAGUGAAGACCAGAAAUGGAUAAUCAAGUGCAACGGUGCAUUAAUCACCUUAAAACCUCAUGGAAUUCAUGCGUACUUAUCCAGCUUGGUUUUUCCUGGCCAAUAGAGCAUUUCCUUCUCUUCGUAACUCCAACAUAUAGAACUGGACAAUUGUUAUGACCUCCAAGCUGGAAAAAUCAAAUAAUAGAGAAACAUCUCAAGUCAGAGAAUAAUGCGAAUUUGUAUGUAAAGAAAUGGAACUUGGGCCCAAUCUAACCCCACAAGCUAGCUCAUGCGGUGAGGAUUGUCCCAAGAGAAUAUAAAAAGACCAAUUCCUCGUACCCACACCAUUGUGGAAACUCAACACCUUCUCGCACUCCGAUAAUAUAAGAUACGGGUCCAACAUAGAGUAAAAUUGGGAUGAGUCUGGCUCUAAUGCCAUGUAAAGAAAUGGACCUUAGGCAAGGAUUGUCCAAUACCAUAUAUAAAGAAACCAGUUUCCCAUCCCCACACUGAUGUGGAAACUCAACAAUGUUCAUGGGUUGACACACACACACAUGAUGUAUCAUGUACACUAGGAGAGCAAAAUAUAUCAUCACUUAGACAGCUUCUAAGUUCUAAAUGUCAUCACUUAGACAGCUUCUAAGUUCUAAAUGGCCAAGUAAAAAUAAUCUACAGCCCACAAGAAACCUUCACUUUCAAAUUAGGCAUUAUAGAAAGAUUAGUAAACCACUAUGGAACCCGAUUAACAAAAGCAAUUUUAUUUUUUUUGGUUCAUCUCGAGGAUUUUUAUUUUUUUUACGAAGUUUUAUUAUUCAUAUCUUAUUAUAUGCCUUUUGCAAUUGUGCAUGCGACAAUAGAUCAAAUAAUAAACGUACUUCUAUAAAGUAUUCUUAUGAAAAGGGGUAGUAAACAUACUUCUGUAAAACUUUUUAUAGCCUUGAUUUGUAAGGCCCACAUUCUUUGAGAUCUACCAAUGGAAUUUGAAAAUAAGCAAAGACAGAAUGAUAGACUCUAAUCAUCCAAAUAUCUCCAAUCUGCCAUAAUGCAUCUCUCUAAACACAUUGCAUGCUCAUCCCUGCUAAAGUGAGGCAAGAGUAUUCUGGCAUUUGAUGGAUCUCCCCACAAUUCUGAACUUAAAAGGCUUCACUACAGUGGAGGAAUCAGAGGAAGAGGAAACGAGACUAGUUACACUACAUAUCUUGUAAGCAUUUGAUAGUCUCCUUUCUAAACAAACCAGCUGUAAAUUACUUCCUUCAGAAACUAGCUAGUUAAAAGUUAGUGCUGAUACAUUAACUCCAAUUUUCUUCACAAGAUGUACUACCUUACCUCAUCAUAAAUCUGAUCUAAAAUAGUCUGACCAUCCAGACUUCCAUGAACUGCUUCUCUUUUUGCAGUGAGCCAAGUGGAGUAGUCACUGGAUCUCUCCCUAACAGAAACAGCUUUGUAUGUAGGCCCAAUCGAUGAAAUGCCAGUGGAUAACAUUACGUGAAACUGAGUUUCCCCAACACCUGUUUAAAGGAUCCAAGAAAAUGAUUGCCACGAUAAACUCCCUUGGCUUAUAAUUUACUAAAUUAUACAAAGUAACGAGAAUAUUAACUAGAAGAUAAGGAAUCUAAUAUUUUAAACUAUAUUUACGGAUAUAACUGCUAAAAAAGCAGCAGCAUGACUCUAAAAAUACUGAGAAUUUUCAAAAAGUACCAAGGAAAUGCACCUAAAAGAUCAUGAGCAACAACAAAGUUAAAAGAGGAUAAAAUUUCAUUUGAGAAAGCACAUGGGGUAGCACUUACUGAAGUUAUUCAGAAAAAUACAGGUCAAAUGUACUACACGGUGCUCAAGCUAUAAAUGUUUCAGGAUACAAUCGACCGAUUUUGUUAGGACCAAAUUUUCUAGGUCCAUCGUAGCGACCUAGUGAACAAUACAUACUCUUUUUUCAAGGACUGACAUCACUACUUUCCAUGAAUUUUAGAAAUAUGAUCCACCAAUUCCGUAAGGCCCAAAAUUUUGCAGGUCCAUUCGAAUAGACCUAGUGAAAGAUACUUAGUGCCUCUACCAAACUGACGUCACUUUUUUUUUGCAGUUUCGGGGUCACAACAUAAGAAUUUUGGAUUAUCUCAGUUUUUCACGUGUACUUAUACAUGAAUAUUUCGGAAUAUGAUUGACUGACUUCGUUUGACCCCAAAUUGUGGGUCCAUUCAAAACAACAUAAUGAAAGAAACUCAUUGCUUUUCCAUGUUCGAUGUUGUUUUUUUUAGAAUUUUGUAAUCAUGAAAUAGGAAUUCAAUAUUAUCUCGGUUUUUAUGUGUAUUUGGAAUACGAUUGACCAAUAGAAACGACCUAAACAACCAUACUCAUUGUUUCUCAAGGAGCAACAUCGCUUUUUUUUUUGAGUUUCGGGGUCAUGAAAUAAGAAUUCAAAAUUAUCUCAGUUUUUCAUGUGUACCAGUCCAUGAAGUUUUUGAAAAUAUGAUCGACUGACUUUAUUUUGUUUCAUUCUAUUGAUUGGUUCAAGAGUCAUCAUAUUAGUGCCUUGGAGAAAUGCCUACCUGGUUUGGCCCCAAAUCUAGUGGGUCCAUUCAGUACGACCGACUCAACGAUACUCAUUGUUUUUCAAGGACCAGACGUCACUUUGGAAUUUCGGGGUCACGAAACUAGAAUUCACUAUUCAGGAUUAUCUCAACUUUUGGUGUAUAUAUUAGUCGAUGAAUUUUUCGGAAUACGAUCGACAGAAUCCAUUUGGCCCCCAAAUUUUUGUGGGUCCAUUCGGAUGACCUAGUGAACGAUACCUUAUUGCCUCUAUAGGACCAACAUUGCUUAUUUUAGAGUAGGGUCACGAAACAAGACUUAAGGAUUAUCUCAGUUUUUCGUGUGUAUUAAUAGAUGAAGUUUUUGAAAUUCGAUCCACUAAAUAGGUAUGACCCAAAAUUUUGUGGAUCCAUUCAAGACGACCUGUUGAACGAUACUUCUUGUUUCUCAAGGACCAAUAUCGUUUUUUUUUGGAGUUUCGAAACUAGAAUACAGGAUUAUCUCAAGUGUCUAUUAGUCUAUGAUUUUUUCAAGUUUCUGAGGUCACGAAAUAGGAACUCAUGAUUACCUCAAUUUUUCGUGUGUAUAGGUCCAUGAAUUUUAUGACUUCAAAAUACGAUAGACCGACUUUGCUUGGCCCUAAAUUUUGUGGAUCCACUCAAAAUGAACUAGUGAUCGAUACUUUUUGUUUCACAAGGACCAAAGUCGUUUUUUGGAGUUUCAAGGUCACAAAACUAGAAUUCAAGAUUAUCUCAGCUUUUCAAGUGUAGUUCAUGAAAUUUUCAAAAUACAAUUGACCAACUUUGUUUGGCCUCACUUUUGUGGAUCCAUCCAAAACUACCUAAUGAACAAUACUCAUUGUUUCUCAAGGACUAACGUUGCUUUUUUGUAGUUUCGGGAUCACAAAACAGGAAUUCGGAUUAUCUCUGCUUUUUGUGCCUAUUAGUCUGCAUUUUUCAAGUUUUGAGGUCACAACAGGAAUUUAUGAUUAUCUCAGCUUUUCAUGUGUAGUCUAUGAAUUUUAUGAAAUAUGACUGACCAACUCUGUUUGACCCCGUAUUCUUUUGAAGGUCCAUUCGGAACGACCUAAUGAACAAUGCAUAUUGUUUCUUAAGGACCGAUGUUGCUUUUUGGAGUUUCAGGCCACGAAUCUGAAAUUCAGGACUUUCUUAGCUUUUUGUGUGUAUUAGUUCGUGUGUAGUUCAUGUAUUUUCCAGAAUACAAUAAACCGGCUUAAUUUGGCCCCAAAUUUUUUGGGUCUAUUUGAAACAACCUAGUGAACAAUACUCAUUCGUGACAACCUUGUAAAAUAGAGCUUUUGUUAUCAGACAAACAGGAUCACAACUCGAAACCGUAAAAUUUUAAUCAAAAAGCAACACGUACCAGGAGGUUUGCCUCUAUCCCUUGAAAAUAAAAGAGCAACAGCAGCAGAACUCGCCGCUUUGUUAUUAGAAGGAUUAAUUGCAGUUUCACCUCGGUAUAAAAACUGAGAACCUCCGUCACCCACAAUGACAGUCUCAGUGGAAAAGGCAUAAUCUACAAACACGAAAGGUGACACUUAAAAUAUAACUUGUUUCUCACAGAAUCAAAUACAAAGACAAAUCAGCAUCCAUUAAAUGUGAACAAAUAAAGUUUUUCAUAAAUGAACAAUUAUGAAGCCAACUCACCAAACUUUUCAAGGACAAGUUUGAUGUCAGUAUCCUCAUCCUAGAACAACAUUCAAAUGGAUUUUGUUACACUUAAAUGUAAAAAGAAAAAAGGUUGAUCAUAUAUACUAGAAAAGCAAAAACUCCAAUCCCUCAAAGUUCAUUCAAGCAUUUUAAUCCAACUCACUCUAAAUCCAAAUUGACUAGUCCAGGCACUCAUACAGAAUCUGAAUUGCAUAAGAACUAAUUUUAUCCCCUUAUCCACAAUUAUAGAAUAUUAGGCAUCAUUGGAAUAAACUGCUUUGCCACAGGGGUGCCAGAAAUAACAAAAUGAUAGGUUUACAAGACUUUGGACUUACAGAAAAUAACAAAAUCCCCACCGGUGAUGCUGAUCCAGAUCGAGAGAAUGAGCGUUCCCUGACACUGAGCACGAGAUCAUCAAUCAUGAGUACUUGAUUUCCCUGAAAUUUGUUCUCCCCAAGUUAGUAUAUCCCAUUUUGAAUCAAGUUAGCACAAAUUCUCUAGUAGGAACUUCAUAAAAUUUGAACUGAAAAUCAAGUUAAAAGGUGGAAGUUCAAAUUUCUCUCAAUAAGGCAGGCAUUCAUAUUUUAAAGAUAAGUUAGGACUACUGGAGCAAAAAAUUACCCGAGUUUUUGAUAAUGAGAUUAAAUCAAUUGCCAGUCCUGGCAAGAAGCCAACAGUUAGUAAAGCACCGUGGAUCUCAUUACCAAGAUCGGCAUGAGCCUCCUCAUCAUCAUCAAACGUGUCCCACUGAACCUGGAAAAAACAUCAUUUUUCUGCACUUCAAUUCUUGUUAAAAGCAGUCAGAAUGCAAUCCCAAAUAGGUUCUAAUCUAUAUCCAUUAGAUUCACCUCUUCAAACUCAUUAGUGGUAGCAUUUUGCCCAAAAAUUCCUUGGGAUAUCGAAGUAAUUACUGGAAUUUGGGAGCCAAAUCUACCAGCGAUCUGCAGAAAUAAUUCAUAUAAUGAGUGGAAAUGAUGUUAUUGAGGUCACUACUGUAACAAAGUACAGUACUUCAAUUGAAACAACAAAAAGGGGGACUAUAACUAUGCUAAAAAUUAGGUAAAAUGUUUGUAGGUUAUUAUACCCUAACACAAAUUACUACGUAACCAGUUGAUCUCUCCUUUCUUUCUGAUUAAGAACUAGUGGAUCUCUCCUAAAAGCCUUAAGCCAAAAAUGUUCCCAACAAUCCUACAAUUGACUAGAGCAAUUAUAGAGUUUAACAGAUCUGUUACUAAAAUAUUCUUCACUGUAUUUUACUACGCUUCAUUCUCCUAUCUUUUACACAUUAUCUCAUCCUUCUCAGUUCUUCUAUUUCAUAUUAAACCUCUUCAAAAAUACUUUAAUUUUUUUUUUUUGAAAAAUGUUAAGUGGAUUAUAGAUGCAGUGUUAUCAAAGGCGAAAAGCGCAAAAAAGCUCUGAGGUCUGUGGGGGCUUUAAGCACAAAGCGCAAAUAAAGCGCGGGCUUUAAUGAAAAAAGGCACAAAGGGAGAAAAGAAUACAAAUAUAUAUGCUUAGUCCAAGACUAAUAAUUAUAAACAUGAAUGACAAAUAUAUGACCAAAGAAAUUGAAAAAAAAAAUUAUGAUAAAGUGAAAUAUCAAUUAUUUAGUUUCACUUCUUCAUAAGAGGCUCAUUGGCAAGGAAAUGUUUGCCUUAGAACCUUGAUGACGACACUAAAGCGCACAUAAAGCGAGGCGAAACGCUCAACAUGUUUUGAGCCUCGCUUUAGGGCUUAAGCGCGCCUUUGAUAACACUGUAUAGAUGUAGUACCACAAGGUGCUGUCAAACUAUGUUGCUCUGACUCUUCAAAACGCCUUUGGGCGGGUUCUAGGCCCUCCAAAAAUGUGAACCGACACAUGUGCAGCAACAUUUUGGAUAGUCCAAGCAAACAUAGCUGUCAAAAAUAUUUACAAAGCGCCAGAAGAAUACCCAUUCUAUCUUAAAAGGAUUCUAUGAGAUCUAUCACUGCUUCAGCAUCAUUUACAUAACUCUGUUUACACCAAAAAUAAAACAAAAGCAAACAAUUCAUUUUAGUUGACUGGAAUUCCUUCCUCUGAUGUUUCAGUAAUCCAAAAGCUCAGUUAUGUGUCCUGACAUGCUCCAUUUAUACUAAAUUGAAAGUAAAUUCAAGUUGAUUCUUGAAGAAUUGAAUUAUUGCUUAGAACAAAACUAAGGUCAUAAAUUAUUAUGUUAUAUAAUAGAAUAAUACUCUUUAGUCCAAUUUGUAAGACACUUUUAACUCGGUGAUGUACUAAAAUGUGUGCGACCAUUCUAUUAAGGGAAAGGGUUGUAUUUGCUCUCUAUUAUUGAAUGUUCAAUAUUGUCCUCCGUUAUAUUAUUGGUCCACAUAUGCCCUUAAUAUUAUACUAUCUGUCCAUAUAUGCCCUUACAGUUAUAAAAGUGGCUCAAAUUUCCCCUUCCUCUGUUAACUCCAUCCAUUUGCAUACGGCCUACGCUUAGCUUCUACCAGCCACUGAUUAACAACUAUAAUUAUUCAAUCUACAAAAAUGAUGAUGGAACAUCUGAUGUAACAUAUUAGUUUGAUUGUCAUCAAACCCAUAAAUACAAUUUGGACAGUAUCUUUACAUGCCUAUAUCUGCAGAAACUCCCUCAGCAAAUCAAAGGCAGACUAAACAGAGACCUUUUUUCUGUCCAAAAAACUCAAAGCAACUUCCUCAGAAUAAAUCACACUUACGGACCGAAUACAAUUCAAAAUGAUCUGAAAAAUAGUUUGUUGGCUUUAAAACGGGGAGAUGAUGUGCAGUAGAUCAAAACACCUAACAAAUGCAAUACUAAGUAGAAUCAUUAUGUUGGUGAUGAUGGUAGGUGAAGGUGUUGGUGACUUUGGGUUGUGGUGGGAGAAGAAGGAUUGGAGUGGUGAGUUGGCAUGCCAUUUUCAGCAAAUGGAUGGGGUUAUCACUUAUCAGAUGAAGAGCAAAUUUGAGCCACUUUUAUAAAUUUAAGGGCAUAUAUGGACCCGAUAGUAUAACAGUAAGGGCAUAUAUGGACCAAUAGUAUAACAUUAAGGGCAUACAUGGAUCGAUUAUAUUAAGAAGGGCAAUAUUAAACUUUUUUCAAUAGCAGAGAGGCAAAUAUGACAUUUUCCUCUUCUAUUAAUGGCAUUAUUCUAUACAAUUUUCACAACUUGUAAGAGUUUUUUCUAUAGGUAUUUUUUUCAUAAGAAACCUUUUUUUUGAGAAAGUUAACUGGUAUUAUAAACAGAAGGAAGUACACCAAUAGUGUGCUCCUAAGUAGUUACAUCAAAAAUAUGAAGGAACAUCCAAAACAAAUCUAUCACCUAUAUCCAUUAUAGACUAUCUAAAAACAGAGUGAUGUCCCCUAUAUCCUUAGGUACAGAUUGAAUACACCAAAAGUAGAAUGUUGCUAGACAGUUCAUCUUCAUACUUUGGAAGGAAAUGCUCUUGUUCUCAAAACAUCUCUGAUUUCUCUCCUUCCAAAUUGUCCACCAGAUGCAUGCAGGGACAAUCUUCCAUCUCUCCUUGUGUCCUGAUUGAUUUCCAUCCCUAUUCCAACAUGCUAGAGCUUCUACAGUAUGUCUUGGCAUGGCCCAUCUAAUACCCCUGAGAUUAAUGAACCAUUGCCAUAAUUUUUCAGUCACUUUACAGUGUAAAAAAAGAUGGUUUACUGUCUCUGUUUCAGCUUCACAAAAAAAACAUCUGGAGCAUAACUGCCUUCCCCUUUUCAUAAGGUUGUCCUGAGUCAGAACUGCUUGAUGUGCAACUAGCCAGGUGAAACAAGCCACCUUAUGAGGUAUCUUCCCCUUCCAGAUCAUCUUCCAUGGCCAACCUUCCUUGGUUUCAGUUGAGAUAUCCAGUAGCUUGUAUGCUGAUUUCACCUUGAACUUGCCAUCUUUAUCCAUCUUCCACAACAAUCUAUCUUCCUCAAAAUUAAGGCUCUUAGCUUGUUCCAAAGUAUUGUAGAAUUGGAUCAUUCUCUCCACUUCCCAGUCAUUGAGGAAUCUUCUGAAGGACAGAUUCCAACCUUGUGCAUUUUUGAUCUGUGAGAUUGUAGCUAGCUUCUGUUGAUUAAGAUUAUAAAUGUCCGNNNNNNNNNNNNNNNNNNNNNNNNNNNNNNNNNNNNNNNNNNNNNNNNNNNNNNNNNNNNNNNNNNNNNNNNNNNNNNNNNNNNNNNNNNNNNNNNNNNNNNNNNNNNNNNNNNNNNNNNNNNNNNNNNNNNNNNNNNNNNNNNNNNNNNNNNNNNNNNNNNNNNNNNNNNNNNNNNNNNNNNNNNNNNNNNNNNNNNNNNNNNNNNNNNNNNNNNNNNNNNNNNNNNNNNNNNNNNNNNNNNNNNNNNNNNNNNNNNNNNNNNNNNNNNNNNNNNNNNNNNNNNNNNNNNNNNNNNNNNNNNNNNNNNNNNNNNNNNNNNNNNNNNNNNNNNNNNNNNNNNNNNNNNNNNNNNNNNNNNNNNNNNNNNNNNNNNNNNNNNNNNNNNNNNNNNNNNNNNNNNNNNNNNNNNNNNNNNNNNNNNNNNNNNNNNNNNNNNNNNNNNNNNNNNNNNNNNNNNNNNNNNNNNNNNNNNNNNNNNNNNNNNNNNNNNNNNNNNNNNNNNNNNNNNNNNNNNNNNNNNNNNNNNNNNNNNNNNNNNNNNNNNNNNNNNNNNNNNNNNNNNNNNNNNNNNNNNNNNNNNNNNNNNNNNNNCUUCUCUGCAUCACAAAAUACCAAAGUGUCAUCAGCAUAUUGUAAAUGGGAUAUAGAACUUCCCAGAGAGUUUUCUUCAUUCACAAUGAAACCCCUUAUUCUAUUGUUCACCUGAGCACUCUUCAGCAUAUCACUUAAACCUUCCAUGGCCAAGAUGAAGAGAAAAGGAGAUAGGGGGUCUCCUUGUCUCAAUCCUCUCUCGGAAGGAAAGAAACCAGUUGGGGAGCCGUUGAUCAAAACUGAGAACUUCACUGUAGUCAUACAGAAUCUCAUCCAUUUUAUCCAGGUGUUGCCAAAACCCAUCAUCCUUAAUGUUGUCCACAUAUGUUCCCAAUUUAAGUGAUCAUAAGCUUUUUCUAUAUCUAGCUUGCAUAGAAUUCCGGGAACUUUGGAUCUGUAUCUCAUGUCCACACAUUCAUUAGCCACCAAGAUUGCAUCCAUGAUUUGCCUGCCCUUUAUGAAUGCCAUUUGUUGCUCAUCUACUAGCUUUGGCAUAACUUUCUUGAGUCUCUCUGUUAAAACCUUUGAAAUGAUUUUGUAGAUACUUCCAAUCAAGCUGAUUGGCCUGAAAUCUUUCAAUUCAGUUGCACCCACCUUUUUGGGAAUCAGGGCUAUGAAAGUGGCAUUGAAACUUUUUUCAAAGUAGCUCUGAUCAUGAAAAUUCUGAAUGGCAGCCACCACUUCCUGUUUUACCUCUUCCCAACAUUGUUUGAAGAAAGCCAUUGUGAAACCAUCAGGGCCUGGUGCCUUAUCCCCUGCACAUGAAAACACACAAUUUUUAAUCUCCUGUUCUUCAAAUUGGCCUUGCAGAGCUGCAUUGUCUACUUCACUGAUCCUAGAUUGAACUCUAGGAUUGAGCUUGGGUCUCCACACUUCUGUCUCAGUGUAUAGUUUUUGGUAGAAAGUAAUAACUUCAUCUCUGAUCUCAGCUGGUUCAAUCACACUGGAGCCAUUGAUGAUCAAUUUGUCAAUAUUGUUAUAUCUCUUAUGGCAGUUAGCAGUUCUAUGGAAGAACUUUGAGUUCCUGUCCCCUUCUUUGAGCCAUAGGGCCCUAGAUCUUUGCCUCCAGGCCACUUCUUCUCUCUUGGCAUUUUCUUCAAACUCCACUGUCAACACUGCUCUUAAAUAGGACUCAUCAUCAGAUAGAAUUCUCUGGUCUUGUAUCAAGUCCAGCUCCGCUAGCUGGUUAAGGAUGCUCUGUUUUUGCAUACCUAGGUUGCCAUGUACUGUUUUGCUCCACUCUUUCAACUUAUCUUUCAGUAAUCUCAACUUGCAGGCUAAGAUAUAAUCCGGCCUUCCCACAUAAAUUACAGAAUUCCACCAUUCUUUAACUCUUUCAUUAAAAUCUUUAGUCUGCAGCCACCAAUUCUCAAAUUUAAAAAAGAAAUUUGAUCUCUCCCAGUUGCCACACUCCAACAAUAGUGGGUUAUGGUCAGAAGUUACUCUAGGUAAGAUUGAUUGUUUAAUCUUUCUAAAGGCUACUUCCCACUCUUCAGAUAUCAGAAAUCUAUCUAAUCUUGCUGCAAUAUCAUAUCCAUCCCCUCUCCUCCAUGUGAAUCUGCCACCUACAAGUGGUAAAUCUUGUAAUUCCAUGUCCUCCAUAAAUUCAGAAAAUUCUUCCAUCUCCCUAUUGAAUUUGUUGCAGUUUUUCUUCUCAGAUGGGAACCUCACUACAUUAAAAUCCCCAGCCACCACCCAAGGUCCAUUAAAUAGACCCCUCACUGCCCCCAACUCUCCCCAUACUUCUUCUUUUUCUUCUCUAUUAUUUGGAGCAUAAACACCAGAAAAAUGCCAUCCUAAGUCUUGUGUCUUCCCUGUGAACUUACAGGUGAUGCUGUAAGCCCCUACUUCACAUACUUCCCCCUCCCAUAUAUUACUAUCCCACAAGAUAAUGAUGCCACCUCUUGUCCCUCGUGCCUCUAGUUGUGCAUAUUUCACUUUUCUAUUUGCCCAUAAAUCUUUUACAAUCCUGCUUAUAUCUCCCUUGAUUUUUGACUCCUGGAAACAAUAUACAUCUGCCCUCCAUUUAUUCAUCAAGUUUUUGAUUUGCAGCCUCUUACUUGGAUCAUUGAGGCCCCUCACAUUCCAUGAAACUAUGUUAACCUUCAUUUAAAUCGUCUAUAAAGCAACCCCCCCUACUCCUUGUUCCAUAGCUCACAAAAUUACUCUUUGGUUCCAAAUUCUUGAGUUAGUUCGGGACCUUUCCUACUGGAGUUAUAGGAACUAUGGCUCCCACGCCCUUCUCAAUAGUUUGUCUCUUAUUGUCGAUCGCCAUGAAGAGGUUCAAGGCCACUUCUUCGCAUCCAAUGAAAUGUACCCCAAAUUCUUUGCUAAGUCUGAUUAUAUUUUGUUGGACCCAUGAUGAAAUUUACAAGUAGCUUUUAUAAAUGUAUAACCAGCACCAAGAGUGUGCUGGUGCGGUGAACCAGUUAUAAUGUCCUGUUAGUCAUAAUAGACUAUGUAAAGACUCUCUACAUCCUGCGUGACUUCUACCUCAGCCAUGUUGUCCGAAAAAAGAAAGCAAAAGCAUACAUAUGAACUUGGGACUAGGAUAUUCUCCUUUUGUCUUGAAAAAUUCUAGAAUUCCUCUCUUUCCAAGUGGUCCUCCAAAUAGUAAUAGGGAAGGUAUUUUAUAGUCGAGUUUGGAUAGCCACACAAAUGUUAUGCCAUAUUUAAGACAACAAGUUUCAAAAAUUCUAUAGCGACACAAAUGUUGUCAUAUUUUAGGCACAAGUUCCAAAAGUUUCACCAUCUUUCAUAAACUCCAUGCCAAGUCAAACUAAGCCUAAGCCAUUUAAAUUGAAACAGGGAGAGUACGGAAGUCAAAUUAAUAUCUUAAUCUCCGAGUAAAAAAAGUACUUACUCAUCAGAAAAUGUUUCUUUUUCAAUAUAGACAAUUUAGCAAACAGAUCUGUCGACUGAGUCACAACAUAUAGUGCACACAAAUGCCAAAUUCAGAGAGAAGAGUGCAUACCAGCCGGUGAGCUUCAUCCAAGUCAAAAGCAGGACCAAUGGAAGCAAUGACAAACUGGGGCCGAAUUGGACAAGCUAAAACUUUGUCAAUAACAUCAUUCACAGCAACCUACACCAAAAAUUGAAUUCCCACUCAAUAAAUUCAUAUAAUAAACACUAAAAAAGAUACUGCCUUGGUUCCAAAAUAGUUCUCCUGUUUGGUUUUCUGAAGUCCAACAAACUGAUUUUGUUAUCAAAUUUUAACUAUUUCCUUUUAUCACUUCUCUUUUUUUUAUAACCAUGGUGUCCGAGUCAACUUGACUGCAUCUCAACUAAUUCCACUGAGUACUUUCUAUUUUGCACCAGCACACGUACUGGAUAAAUGUGUCCACCGACGCUGGCUUGGACAGAAGGGGAAAAUCACCUAGUGUUGUUGCCUCCUCUGGGAUUUAUAAAUAAAUUCAAACUCUUAAACAUAAAUUACUCCCUCUGUCCCAGAAAAAAGGUCAGGUUUGGAGUACGAGGGUCAAUUCCUAUAACUUAUUAUGUGUAUUCGGACGCCAAUUUCUUCACUUUUUUCAAUAUAAGUAAUACUUGCAUAUUCAAAAAUACUGUAAGAAGUACUCCAAGUCAUAAUUAUUAUAGUUAAAAAGAGAAAAGGUUCAAAAAUGGCCUUAACGUAUCACAAAUGGUUUUAAAAUGCCCUCCUUCCACCUAUAAAAAUUCCCUCAACAUUCCUUUUAAGGUCUAAAAAUAGCCCUUUUUUUAACAGCACAAUGACGUUGCAUUGAUGAGUCAUUUAAUGAAACAAGUGGCUUCAUCUUAUUGGUUCACAUAAAUUUUAAAAUCAAAUCUAACUAUCCAACCCAUCUAAGGUAAAAGAUCCAAACCCACCUACAACCCAUUUUUUUCAAUCUAUGAACAUCUCUGUUUUUUCCUUGUCUAAGAGAAGAAUAAGGAACCUUUGAAUUUUUGGUUGAAUUUCUAUGGAACAGCCGGCAGUUAAACUGCCUUCCUGAUUUUCUGUUGUGUUUUCUUUAAGACUUGAAUAUUUAUGAUGUUCAUGAACGAGCUGGAGCCAGAGCGGAGAGGAUUUCAAGGCGAGGGAUUGGAGUCUUUUAAUGGUACUUAUAGGUUCAAUAUAGAAUUUCUGUCGAGGCAUGAGAGUGGUUUCCGGUGGCAGAAUGGCCCAUGGCUGCUAGGGGGUUGUUGAUUAUUUCUGCUGCAAGAAUAGGCCUGUUUGGAAGUUCAACACAAUGAUGGAACAAUUGGUAGAGGUGGAGAAAAGAUGAUUGAUAACAAGGAAGGGUGUUUGAAUCCUUGUGAAUUUAAAAAAAAAAAAAACGGGUUAGUUGGUGGAUUUGAAUCUUUUACCUUAGAUGGGUUGGAUAGUUAGAUUUGAUUUUAAAAUUUAUGUGGACCAAUAAGAUGAAGCCACUGGUUUCACUAAAUGACUCAUCAAUGCUAUGUCAUUGUGCUGUUAAAAAAGGGUAUUUUUAGACCUUAAAAAAACAUUGAGGGCAUUUUUUAUCUAAUAGGUGGAAGGAGGACAUUUCUAAACCUUUUCCCUAGGUAAAAACAGUUGAAAAAACAUAAUCGAAAACAAAUAGACUCUUCAUAUAGUAUUCAGACACCCAGCUCUUCACUUCCCCAAUAUAAGUAAUACUUGCAUAUUCAAAAUUUCUUUAAGUACUCCAAAUCAUAAUUCUUAUAGUUAAAAUAAGUAGGAAAAAAUACAAUCCAAAUCAAAUUGACUCUUCAAAUAGCAGUAGCACCAUUUUCCAGACCUAACGAGAGUGACAUUUUUCCACACCCAAGGGUGUCUCUUAGUGGUCAAUAAAGUGGAUUGAGCACCAUGAGAUCCCAGGUUCAAAUCCCAGAAGCAAAAACACUAUGGGGUAUUUGGCCAUCAAUUUUUUUUAACCUUUUUUCAGAAGUUGUAGUUGAAUUCCGAAAUUUGAAAAACAACAAAAGGUUGUUUUCACUCCAAUUAGUAUUCAUGAUGAAACACAACUCCAAUUUUCAAAUACUAUCAUUUUUUCACUUUGAAAGCAAAAACUACUUUUUCAAUACUCACAAUUUUCAUGGCCAAAUGCCCAUGGGGCAGAGCUAGGUAGCCUUGAGAGGUUCAUCCAAACACCAUUCGAAGGGUAAUUACACUUCUUAUACGCGGUUAAAAUUAUUUUUUUCAUUUGUUUACUUAUUCAUGAAAAUUCUAGCUUUGCCACUGAAACGCCCUUGGUAGACAGAGUUACCUAGAAACUGCAUGUGGGAGGUGACAGAUAUCUCGUGGAACUAGUCUAAAGAGAGUGACAUUUUUUCUAAUUAGGUCAACCAAACGAUUAGCCAUUCGAAACAUAAACUAAGACAAAGAGAUUAUAUGCUUAAAUUUUGAGUUACACAUAUGUGAAAAUAGAAGAACCUGAAGAGAAGGAUCGAGUGAAACAGCAGAAGAGAGCUUUGGAAGAGAAAGGAGGCGAGUGAUGGUAGCGUUCCACGAACGGCUCACACAUGCUGCUGCUGCACAUUCUACUGCUGGUAGUUUUGAGAAGAUGUUGAAUAGAAGGUCUUCUCCGAUCAUAUCAAUCGUCGCCGGCGAUAACGCCGUCGCCGGUGGGUUCUGCCUUGGUUUAUCCAUUUUCUGAACUGAAAUCCCCUCGACGUAAUGGUUUUGUGUGUUUUCAGUGUUCGGCUUUUAGCAUUUUGGUCCUUUAAUUAUUGGUAAAUCUAAUUCUAGUCCAUAUAAAUUGUAAGUAUGUUUUUUUGGUCCUCUUGGUAUGCAAUAUGUUUUUAUGCCAGUGGCGAAUGCGCUAGCUAAGAAGGGCUCUACAACAAAAUUUUGUUUUUGAGAAUAUCAUUGUUUUAGAUGGAUCAUCGGCAUUUAUACUGCAAUCACUUAUUGCAGAUCAACAAGGUGAUGUAACACAUCGUCUGCUUCCAUAUCAGACGGCAAAUAGGACUAGUAAUAGUUUAGUAUAAGCAUCUAUGACUAAAAAUAGUAAUAGCACAUCUAACAUGUAGCCUUCGUUUUUGUAGUACUGACCCUUCUAGUACAGUUAGGCCUUUGCCUCUUACUUGUAAUGCCUUAUAGUUUAAUAUAAGUUUAAUCUUUUUGUGACCAACAGAACACUAUUGAGCUUACAUAAUUUUAUUUUAUUUUUGUUUUCAUUUAGUGUUUGGUGCUCACCUUUAACAUGAUGAUUGAAUUUGUAUGGUACAUCCGCUCUUAAAGAAAAAGUGUUUUUUUUCUCAAAAUAAUGUCUAUAGGUUAUCACUAAUUCUCAUUGAGUGUGACCGAGUUUAGUUGAUGGUUGGUAGGCAACGUUCUUCCCAAAGUUGUCGAGUCUGGGGUCUUCUUUCACAAAAUUAAGAAGAAAAUCUCAUGCAAGGAACUUACGUACCUUAUCACAAUGAAUGGUAAGCAGUGGUGAAUCCAAAAUAUAAAUAAUAAGUGGAACACAAGUUGAAUUUUGAACAAUUCGAUUAUGGUAUACAAUACAACUUUUAUCAAACAAGGAAAAAAUUUGAUAAUCAAGAUAGAAUCAUCAUAUAAUCAUUCAAAUAAGGGUGUUGCUUUUUUCCUAGGUGAUUCCAACUUGAUGAGAUACGAAGAUAAGAAUGUAUUUACAAUCAACAACAUACUCAAUAUAAUAUCACAAAUAUGGUCAAAAGAGGAUAGGAUAUAAAUAAACCUUACUUCUGCCUUUAUGGAGUAGAGAGGUCGUCUCCGAAAGAGGAGAGUUCAUUUAAGUAACUAAAAUUACAACAUAACAAUGCCAGAAUGGCUUUUGAAAUAUGUAUAGGAGACAUUUGCCCUCUACCACCAAAUUCCAACACCAAAAAGUACAGAGCAAUAUCCUAUUCAAAUCACCAAAGAUUUUUUGCCACUACCCAUCAGGCAACCAGAUUGUCAAAGGCAAUGCCAGUUAAGCUCUAAUCUUCUGGCAAUGCAGGAGGAGUAUAUGACAUAACAAGGUAGACGGUGCUAAAUUCGUGCAAACUGCAACGUAUACAGCUUUGUCCUUUAGACUCCUUUACGUAGAAGCUAUAAUCUCCAUGUGCAAUUUCUCCAUUACAAUAGGUUCCUGAGAAGGUAACCCCAGGGAAAUUCUCCAAGAAAGGUGAGGCAUCUACAUUAGGUUCACCGAAAAAUAACUUUCCACGACCAUAGCAAGCGAACAUCAUACCACCAAAAACAGACUUCUUAUGCAUAUGCAUGCUUCCAUUGCUAUUAGAAUGAUCAUCAUUUUUUAGGUGGUUUAGAUCCUGCUUCAGAAGCUUCAUGUCGUUUGAAACAUCGUUGCAAGAAGCAUAUGCCAAAUCAGGAUUUGCAUGGUAAAACUGGAAGGAGUCAAAAUCACUGAUACCAUCACCAUGGACAUAGAGAUACUCGUUAUCACCUCUGCAAAUUCAUAUAAUUAGUUACAGAAGUAGAGAGAGAGAGAGAGAGAAAGGACGAGGAAAGGCAAAAAUAGUUGUAAAGACAGCAGUUUCAACUACGACAACAAUAUGCCCAGUGUGAUCCCACAAGUGGGGUUUGGGUAGGAAGGGCUGUGUGCAAACGUUACCCUACCUUGUGUGAGAGAGAAAGGUUAUUUCUGAUAGACCCUUGGCUCAAUAAAAGCAUUUUCAAAAACAGAUUCAACAAAUACAAGUAGAAAAGAAAAGUACCAGCAGUAAAAAUAAUAAAGAUAUCCAAACAUUAGUUAUACAAUUGAAAAUGCUUUUCCAUGUUUGCAGAAACAAAUUCAGUUGAGGAGGACUCCCCAUUCUCUCCAUGAACCAUGGAAACUUCCUAGAGAAUAAACCUUCUAUCUGCAUGCUUUUACACAUCAAACAUCUCAGGAUGGAAUUCAUGCAUACAUGUCCAAACAUCGUAGAACAAUCAAACAUCAUAAGUGAAGGCCAUAAGGAUAAUCAAGCUCGAUGUUGCAUUAAUCACCUUAAAACCAAAUAGAAUUCAUGCAUACACAUCGAACUUAUGCGAACAUCCCCAAAAGUGCAUCUCCUCGUCUUUGCAACUCCAACAUAGAGAGUUCGAGAAUGGGUAUGAUCUCCCAGCUGGUGAAAUCAAAUCAUUGAAAAGAAACAUCAAUUCAAAGAGGAGUGAAUUAUGUUCAAGUGUUUCAAACACACACAUGAAGGAAGAUGUAUACUAGGAGAGAAAUUUCAUCAAUUAGACAGCUUCUAAGUUCUAAAUAAGUAUGAUUAACUUUAAGAUUAUGCUUUAUAGCAGAUUAUUAAACCAUAAAGAAUUAUUUUUUUUAAAAAGCAAUAGUUUAACAAAAGUGAUUUCAUUACUGCUUCUUAUUAUGCUAUACCUUGUGUAACUGUGCAUGUCAAUCAUGAACAUUCUUCUGUAAAUUCUUUUAUAACCUUAAUUUGCGAUGGUCAAAAAAAAUUUCUUUAGUUUCCAAUAGAAUUUGAAAAUCAGUCGGACAGCAUGAUCAACUCUAAGUCUCUAAUCAUCCAAAUAUGUCCAAUCUGCUAUAAUGCAUCUCGUUAAACCCAUUGUAUACUCUUCCCUGCUAAGUGAGGCAAGAGCAACAGAGUUCUGACAUUUGAUGAAUCCACGCAUUACUGAACUUAAAAGACUUCAUUAUGAUGGAAGGAAUCAAAGGGAAAAAAACAACGAGACUAGUUACACCACAAAAUUUUGCAAGUAUUUUGGUAGUUGCCUUUCUAAACAAACCAGCUAUAAAUUACUUCCUUCAGAAACUAGCUACUUAACUUUGGUGCUGAAACAUUAAACCCAAUUUACUUCAGAAGAUGAACUAUCUUACUUCAUCAUAAAUCUGAUCUAAAAUCGUCUCACCAUCCAGAUAAAAAUCAAUGCCUUUUGUUCUCGCCAUGAACUGAGUAGAAUUGUCACGAAAUUUCGCCUCAACAUUAACAGCUUUGUAUAUAGGCCCAAUUGGUGAAACGCCAGUAGAUAACAUUACAUGAAACUGAGUUUCCCCAACACCUGUUUACCGGGUCCCAAAAAAUGAUUUUCUCAAUAAAUUCCCUGGAUAUAUAAUAUGCUAAAUUACCUACAUAUACGGAAAUAUUAAGUAGAAGACAAAUCUAAUCAUCAAUAUAUUUAUUGAUAUUUGUGUAAAUACCCAUAUAUUUAUGUGUAUUUAUUUAGUGGUUUAUGUUGAUGAUAUCAUUAUUACCGGCAAUGAUCAGGUCUUUGUUAAGGAUGUUAUUUCAAAGUUAGACAUCAUAGAAUUCUUGGAGUAGGCGCAGAAAGCUAUGAUUUGUGGUUUUUUCGUAAUCUGUAAAGAUGGCCUAGCAAAGCCUUUGUGCUACACAUAUAUAAUAUUGUUACCUUUCUCAAAAAAAGAAAAAAGAGAAGAAGAGGAUCAAUUGAUUAUGUUUUCUUCCUUCCCAUCUCUCUUUCUAUUUUAUAAUUAAGUUGAGGAAUAGAACUAGCUAACGAUUGAGAUGUACUUGAAUUGGUAAGUUCAUAUUAUUCCACAAAGAUGUUAGCACCAAGCUGAUCAAAAGUUGAGUUUGUGAUGUGCCUCAAAUAUUGUGGAAUCACACCCCAAUAUAUCAGACUAGCAUUGGUGGCAAGAUUCUCUCCUACCCGAAUGCCUUAUAAAGCAGUGCUCUUGUUAUUGAACAAACAGGAUAACAAUAUGAAACCACAAAGUCCAGUCAAGAAGCAAUUCAUACCAGGAGGUUUGUUUGUAUCCCUUGAAAACAGAAGAGCUACAGCAGCUGAACUGGACUCUCUGUUAUUAAAACGGUUACUUAUUGUUCCAUCUUGGUAUAAAAAACGAGAACCCGCAUCACCCACAAUGACAGUCUCUUCGGUAAAAGCAUAAUCUACAAAAAUGGGGCACUGAAAAUAAAAGUUCUUUCUCAUAGAAUCAAGUAAGAAGAGAAAUUUGGUUCCAUAAAAGUAUAUUGCAUAGAUGAGAACUAUGAAGCUCACUCACCCAACUUUGCAAGAACCGGUUUGAUGUCAAUGUCCUUGUCCUAGAACAACAUUCAAAUGAAUUUAAUUACAUUCUCAAGUAAGAAAAAGAAGGUUGUUCCUAGAUAUUUGAAAAGCAAAAACUUCAAGUGUCUCUCAAAGUUCAUUCAGCUUUCCAAAGACAAAAUUAAAUAAAUAAAAGAAUAUUCUCCCUAGCAGCUUAAACUUUUAGAUGAACCUGUCACACACUUCAAUAUGGUAUUAGAGCAGGCAUAGGUCCUAGGUUCGAGUCUCACCACCACUCAUUCUCAAAAAGAAUAUCUCGUGCUUGGCCAAUCAAAUAGAAUUUUGCAUGCACACAAAGGGGUGUGUUGAAGACAAAUAUAAAUAAAUAAAAGUGUACUUUCUCUUAAAUGAGUUGGUCACACACUUCAAUACAACUUUUAAUCCGGCCCACUCUAAAAUCUAAAUUGAUUAGUCCAGACACUCAAACAGAACCUGAAUUGCAUGAGGUUUAACUUUAUCCACAAUUUAAGGAAAAUAAGGCAUCACCACUUUGACAAGUAGGGAAUAAACUGUUUUGACAAAAUGAAAGGUCUUAAGAGACUUGAGACUUACAGAAAAUAACAAAACUCCCAUUGGUGAUGAUGCAGAACGAGAAAACGAGAGGUCCGUGAUACUCCUCAUGAAAUCAUCAAUCAAGAGUACCUGAAAUUUGUUCUCCCCAAGUUAGUGUAGCCCAUUUUAAAUCAAGUUAGCACAAAUUUUCAACUAGAUAUAAACUAUUCAUAUCCUUCAAAAUUCCAAGUAGGAACUUCAUAAAUUUGAAACGAAAAUCAAGUUAAAAAGUGGAACUUCAGAUUUCUCUAAAUAAAGGCAGACAUAUUUGUAAAAAUGUUAUGGUUACUUGAGUAGAGGAUUACCCGAGCCCUUUUUAAUGGGAUUAAAUCAACUAUUAAUCCUGGCAAGAAACCAACAGUCACUAAAACACCCUCGUCCUCAUUACGAAGAUCCUCAUGAGCCUGGUUAUCUUUCAUGGUGUUCCACUGAACCUGGAAAAACAUCAUUUUCCCCACGUCAAUUCUAGUUAAGAAGAAGUCAGAAUGCAAUCCCAAGCAGAUUCUAGCCUAUAACCACUAGAUUUACCUCUUCAAACUGGUUAGUGUUAGCAUCUUGCCCAAAAAUUCCAUAAGAUAUCGAAGUGAUAACUGGAAUUUGGCAACCGAAUCUACCAGUAAUCUGCAGAACAAUAUGGAUCCAUAAGCAGCACAUAUAGUUUAUUCCAAUGUGUGACAAUUCAAUACAUUGAAUGGAUGGUUUUAUUAAUAUCUCUAGUUUAACAAAGUACAACAUUUCAAUUGAAGAAAAAUAAAAGGGCCCUUUUUAUUCUGAUUGUUUUGCAUAUUUUAACUUUCUAAUCUUCAUAUUGAUUGCCUCCAUAUAUUAAGUAGUUCGCAUAGAUCGAUUAUAGGCUUGCUUGUGCCUAAAAAGAUAUUGUGUAUGAAUCACUCGAUAACUAUGCUCAAAGAACUAGGUGAAAAUCUUCUCUCAUGACUGCCCACAUAAAAUAAUACCGGUCUUUCACUUUUGUGUUGCAUCAGGCAAACACAUUUCGAAAGUGAUUCGUCAUUGGAAUAACUACAAUAUCACUUUUUCUCAAAUCGGUCUUGAGAUAAAAUUGAUUGCAAUAUCAAAUGAAUAGUCAAAAUAUAAAUGGUGUCAAACAUAAAUAAAUAUCAUUGAUUUGACACAUUUUCUUUAAUAAGAAUUAUAAAUAAGGAAUGAUAUUUAGUAAAAUUAAAAGCAUUUUAGAAAUUUAACUUUUGACUUCAGUGCUUCUCAUUCUUUAUAAGUAUUCCGAGUAUCUGGACAUGCACAUCAUGCGCGAAUUCUAUAUCAAUGAGCAUGUUUUUUCUUAAAUCAAAUAAUUAUAACUGGAAAAUCUUAUCGCAUUAGUUAGGGAUUACUAUAAUACCUCCAACUAAAAACACUCAUCUAUAUCUAUAUACAAAAAUACCCGUUAAAACUCAACAACCACUCUUCUUUUAAAAAAAACAAACUACUCCUACACUCAACCAAUGCUCCGUAUGAAUGUCAACACGCUUGAUCCUUGAGACUAAUAAAACCACCGCUUAGGAAAGGAACAAAAAUCAAUCAAAUAAGUUUACACUUUCAUUUUUCAUGGUUAAUCUUUCACCUAAUCAAAUACGUAAUUUAUUAAGCUUAAUCAGAGUUUUACUUUCACCCUCCAUCACAUUUUGAUAAUAUUUGUUCUCUCUUGAACUUGUAUCUGCAUAUACAUGUCGCAUUGAGUAUGUGUAUGUUUGUUUUACUUGUACUAUUUCUUAAAAUUUGAUGGUGAUAAUUACAAUUGAGUGUACAUAUAUAAUUAUAUAUGUAUGUUGCGAAGUGAUUAAGAAAAGAAAAAAGAGGACGAUUUUCGUCAAAGUCUGAAGAUUAUUGUGCUAAUACUAACAUGAAGAAAGGACCAAGGUCACCUGAGGAAGAAAUUAAGAUAAAAAGACUAUCUUUGAGAUUUGAACUCUGACACUUGUAAGUGUAUAAGAUGAAGGUGCAAAUUUAAAAAUGGAAAAAAUGAGGUUAUAAAAUUCUAUAACAAGAGUAAUCAACUUUGAUAAGACAAGAAUGGAAAGGCGUAAUCGACAAUCAUUAUGGCAGAAGAAUAUAUCAUAGAUAAAGUUGAUGAAAAAAUGUCGUUUUCGACAUCAUCUAUUAGAGCAAUCAAAGUUCAAUAUGAGCUAUAUCAAAGAUUAUUUUAUAAUGUGAUUGAUGGAAUACAUAUAACGUUAGUCGAAGAGUAUGCCUUUUGACUUCAUUCAAUAAAGGGUCAAGUAUGCUAUAUUCUAUAAUAAAUGAUAUAUGAAAUACACAUGCAAUACAGGUAAAGAGAGACUAGUACAUAUAGAGAAAGAAGAUCACAUACGAGAUAGUGAGCUUCCUUCAAGUCAUAAGAAGGACCGAUGGAAGCCAUUACAAACUGGGGCCGAAUCGGCCUAGCUAAAACCUUGUCAACAACCUCAUCCACAGCAUCCUGCACCAAAUGUUCAAUUUCAACCCAAUAAACUUUUGUCAUAAACUAAACAAGCUACUCCCAUUGUCCAAAAUUAGUUCUUCCAUGAAGUUUUCAAUAAAUUACAGUCAAUUUUAGUAAAAAAAAAAUCAUCAUUUCUCAUCAAAAUUCAAAUUCUUAAACAUAAACCUUCAAAUUCUUAAACAUAAACCCUAACCUGAAGGAUGAAUCUUAUACCUGAAGACAAGGAUUGCAGGAAAGAGCAGAAGAAAGGUUUGGAAGAGUGAGAAAGCGAUUGAUGAUGAGAUUCCAACUACUGUUCACACAUGCUGCUGAUGCACAUGAUUCUGCUGAUAACCGAAACAGAAUGUUGUUAAGAAGGUCUUCUCCGAUUGAAUCAAUCGUUGUCGGCUCCGGCACCGUUGCUGCUGCCGCCGGCACCGUCGCUGCAGCUGCUGCCGCCGCCGCCGUCAAUUUCUGUCUUUGUUUGGGCGCCAUUUUUCAUAACUUAAAAGACCCACUAUUUGCUUCUUUAUAUUUUUUUAAUAGAAAAAGGAUUAAAAAUAUUUCUAAAUUAUAUAUGUAUAUAAAAGAAAACCUUAUGUCCAUACGUGGCGUCAUCAUAAAUUAGGAUUUACUUUUUAUUUAUUUAUUUUCACAAAUCUUUUUUUUCUUUUUAAUCUAUUUAUUUCUAAAACUAGUCUUUCCUUUCAUUAAAAGCAGUGAGUUUUAUAAAAACUUGUGACUUUUAUGAAAAAUUGUGAUUUUUAUGAAAAGUUGCGACUUCAAUUAAGAGUUGCGACGUUUAUGAAAAAGUUGUGACUUUUUCUAAGGGUUAUAACUUUUCCAAAUAGUUGUGAUAUUUUCGAUAAGGCACAACAAACAUUUUUACACACAAUUAAAUAUUCGUGUACUUUGCUUCUGUUGAAUAUAAAUAGAGAGAUUCCUCUCAUUUUAAAACAACGAAAAUUCUGAACUUCUUAUUCUUCUUCUUUUUCUUCUUCUUCUGCACAAUUAAAUAUUCGUGUACUUUGCUUCUGUUGAGUUGCUCACUGACACCAUUGCUUAAGUUACAGAUCUUGAUAUUUUUUUUACAGUCAUAAAUUUAUGCUCAUGUUAUUAAGGAUAAAUGAUAAGAUGUUAUAAUUUUCUAUCACGAUCCGAGUCUACACCCUGAACGUAGUCGGCACUCGAGAACUAUUGUUGGUCCCCAAGCGAACCCUCAUCCUAGCUGACUACAAGCGAAAGACUAACUCAAGCAUACAAAGCUUAAAAACUGAAUAAAAAAUUCAUGAAACUCAAUUACAAAGCUUUAAACUCAAAUGAAAAAACUCUAAAUAAAAAUAAAUUAUUCAACUCGCCAUAAAUAGGUAACUUAAGUCUUUAAAACAUUUAACAAGAUAAAUGAAACAGACUUCUCAAACUCUAUUGUCUAUCUAUGAAGCCUCUAAAUGACAAGGAUGGAAGUCGGGACAAGACCCACGAUAUCCUGACAAAACUGAAAAGUAAAUGAAAUCCUCCAGAAGCAAGAAGGCUCACCAUAGCUAACUCGAACUCCAUGUGGUAUCAACGAAGCUCUUGUUAAUGACCCUGAAUACCUGUAUCUGCAUCAUGAAACGAUGCAUGCCAAAUAGCUUAGUACGUGGAAUGUACGAGCAUAUAAGAGGAAUUUUAAAGCAUAAACAUAAGUUUGAACUUGAUAAAAAGGAAACAUAUUUACCUUCUCUCAACUCACUCGUGCUAAACCCAACUCAAGGAUAAGAAACAUAGUUCAACUCAAUGAUAAGAUAUUCAACUCAAUGAAAUAAGGCUCAACUCAAUAAUAAGAUAUUCGACUCUAGGUACUUAACUCUGGAUACUCAACUCAAUAUAAAGCAACAAUACAUUUGCCAUAAAUGGAAAGCUUUUAAAACAGUAGAAAGCAACUCAGUUUGUAUGCAAGGAACACCAAAUAAACUCUGCUUGUAUAUGAAAAUACAAAGUAAACUAUGUGUAUAUAAGAAUACAAAAUAUCUCUAGUGGGAGUUUCUCUAACCGACAACCAUCACUAUGAGCUAUGUGAUGAUACAUCGUCUCGCCCACGCUGCCAGAACUAUCCUAUAACUUGUCGGGAUAUAGAACGCCUCAACUAAGUGAAUCCACUAGUCUAUGCUAAAAAUCAUUAAGGAAUCAACUAAAAAGUAUGACCAUUUAUACCCACGUUGGCUACAUGGUUUAUGGAGACUUGAGUUAUCUGAACUCAUCCACAUAUCGGUGUUCAAUACUACUCUCAAAAUAUAACUAGCUCAUAUGUUUGAAAACAUAACUCUUUCUGAGGUUUGAGAUUAUUACUCAAAAACUAGCUUAAAAGCUCUCAUGGAAAUCGGUGUUUCCUCUCUUGUUUAAAUGUGAAAACAUUUACUCUUUGAGAAUACUUAGUUCCCAUAUAAUCUUUUGAAGAACUGAACUUAACUCUUGCUCUUACUCAACUCAAUGCUCAAGUCUUUAAAACAAGUCUAAAACAAUUGUAAAAGACUUCUCAAAAUAAGGUUCAUGCCGAAUUAUGGACGCGAACGACUCAAUUCAAGGUUUUCAAUAACCACAUAUAGAACUCAAUACUCGAAACUCAAAAACUUCAAUGAUAAUACUUACUCCCUCCGUCCCAUUUUAUGUGAGGUACUUUGACUCGGCACGGAGUUUAAGAAAAAAGGUAGACUUUUAAAACUUGUGGUCCAAAAUGAAUGAUAGAAAUUUGUGUGGCUGUAAAUUAUUUCAGUAAAGGUAAAAUAGACAUUUUAUAGUUAAAUUGUUACUUAAUAUAGAAAUGUGUCAUUCUUUUUGAGACUGACUAAAAAGGAAAGUAAGUCACAUAAAUUGGGACAGAGGGAGUAUUUAAAGAAUGCUCGACUCAAAGGGUUCAUACGGAAUUAUGGGCAUGAACUACUCACUCAAGAACUCAAAGAUACUUCUCAUCUGAAGACUACUCGACUUAUAGGGUUCAUGCGGAAUUAUGGGCAUGAACUACUCAACUCAAGGACUUCAUGGGUAACAUGUAAUAGUCCCAUGAUUAGGAAUAUAAUCUCAAAAAAAUGAUUAGGAACUCGAUACUCAAAACUUAAAACUUGAAGAUACUACUCCUCUCAAAGAUACUCAACUUAUGGAGUUCAUGCGAAAUUUAUGGGCAUGAACGACUCGACUCGAGGGUCUACAUAACAACAUGGAACUCGUGUGAUCGACUCUUCUCAUUCUCAUGCUUACUUCCUCAAAACUUAGUUCAAAUUGAUAAUUGAUCUCAAAGGAUUCACAAUUGAACUCAAAGAUUUUCUUGAACUCUACUCUUAACUCUCUCUUGAAUUUGAAUUAUGAAUUCAAUAGUUAUGGUUUGUGAUAUGAAGGAUCUCGUGAUGACAAAGUAGGUUCAUGAAUACAUUCUCCUCAUUCUUAUACUCACUUGCUCGAGUCUUGAAACAAGUUAUUUGAAUUUGUAAAAGACUCCUCAAAGGGACUAUCUCAAAAUGUUCGAAAGAACUCUUCAAGGCUUAACUCUUAACUCUACCUUGAAUUUGAAUCAUUAAUUCAAGGUUAUUAUUCAUGUUCAUGGAUGAUUUCUAGAUGUUUAGAAGUCAGUUAGAGUAGUCAGAAUCAAUCGGAAGUGUUAGUACACUUUAAAAGAACUUAGAUAGGCUAAACGACGAAAAAAUGGUGGGGGCAGACGACCCGGGCGCGUUCCUAGCGCGGGGUGCCAGCCCCUAAGUUACUGGAACCCAAUUAUGGCACACCAGCCCUCCUGGUGUAUCAGUGGCGCGUCGCGCCACCCCUUCCCCAGAACGACCCGACAAAUUUUUCUUCUCGUUCUCUGAUCCUAGAUUGCAUUUAAUCGAUUUCUUUUCUCAAGUUUUCCUCAAAUUCAAUUACCCAACCUAAGUACACACUAAUCUACUCAAAUCACUAACUUUCAUCUCAAGAAUUCAUCAAAACUCCAACAAAACAAGAUUUAGAAUGAACUUCAAGAACUCGAUUCCUUCAACUUUUGAGAAUGAAAUUACGCUGAAAAUAAUAUGAUUGGCGUGUGGGUGAAUGAACCCAACACUAUAGAAGCUUACAUACCUCUUAGGGAUCAAACUCAUGGCAAAAAUCCGCAACAAAACUCAAGAUACUCGACAAACGCUUUGAUCCUCUCCUAUUUUCUCCUAUUUUCUCUUCUUUUCUCUUCUUGAGCUCUCAACUAAAACCCUAGGUGUAUAUUAGGAUUAUAAAACUGAACCUAAUAUGAUUAGACCCUUAAAACCUUACUAAAAAUGAAUUAAAUCUGAUUUGGUAAGGAAAAACCAAAAUACCCCUUACUAUUUCCGGGUAACUUUCCUUAACUGGACAACCUAACUUCAAAAGAGCAUAUCUCACUCAUCGGACCUCGAAACUUAGCAAACUCGGUGGCGUUGUAAAGAUAAUUCAAAGACCUUUCAUUUCCAUCUUGUAUAUCACCUAAAUCAUCUUGUACCAGGAGUUAUGGUCAUUUGAAGUUGACCCAAAAUUCAUAACUUAAGCAUAACUUGCAAAAUUUCAGAAUUUUGCUAUUUCCAAUUUAGUUCUUUUGGAACUCAAGGUUUCACAUCUAGUGACCUUAACACUUAAGAAAAUUUUAAAUUCCUCGGUAAAAUCCUACUCACAACGAAGGAUGGUUCGAGUCUUAACUCAAAAUUUUCCGGGGUGUUACAUUUUCAUUUUCCUUUACAUUAUUAAUGUUUGUUACUAUGUAAUCUUGUAUGUAAAAUAAUAUAGUGUUUUAAUUUUAAUGACCGGUAGGCUUUAAGUAUUAUUUUAUAAAUUUCGUGAUAUUAAAUUUCCGCGCGAAACGCGGGUAAAUAUACUAGCUCCUUUAAUAUAUUAGGUUUAUGCUCCAUUAUACUAAGCAACUAUUUAUAUUCAUGCUAUCUAUAAACUUGUCACUUGUACUCCUACUCGAACGAAUACCCUUUAAUUAACCUGAAUUUCUUUGAAAUUACUCAUUUUCAAAUUGAAACUCAUGACCGACCCUCUGUCUAUCUUAACCCAAACAAAUUUAACUUAUUUCCCAUAUGUUAAAGGUCUUUUGGAAAUGGGCUAAAUUUGUUUGGAUUAAGAUAGAUAGAUGAUCAUACAUGUGUUUCAAUUUUGAAAUGAGUUGUUUUUAAGAUAUUUGGGGUUAAUUUGGGUUGAUUUGAGGUUUUCGUCCAAAUAGGGGGUAUGGGUGACAAGUGACAAGUCUGCUUAAGACGGGAUAUAAAUAGUCACAUGGUGUAAUGGAGGGUAAAUCUAACUAUUAAAUAAAGGGAAAAAGGACGAAUUUACCCCCGAACUUUGAUAAAUGGUACGUCUAUGCCCUCCGUUAUACUUUGCGUCCACAUAAGCCCCUGCCGUCCAAUUUUCGGUACACACAUGCCCCUCUCACUAACGGACCCCUCAUUUUGUACACGUGUUUUAAUCCUAAUCAACUACCCGUUUGACCAUUCUUUUAACCCAUAAACCCACAACCUGCCCCAUAAACCCAAUAACCCACCUCUUCUUUCUAUUAAACUGUCGAAUGCACCACCACCGGAGGCAAAUCUCCGUCCACCUUCCUCUUCCUUCCUUUUGGUCCACCGAUCCGAAUCUGAUUCCCUCUAAAAUAUCUAAGUUAAUUAAACAUUCCAAAUGAAGAGUCAGUGAAGGGUCAGUGAAGGUUGAAAAUCACUCCAAUGGCGGCGGUGCCGGUGGCCUUGCCGAUUUUCCAUAUUUGGCUGCUGCUGCCACCACCAAAACGAAGAAGAAGAAGCCACAAACCCUAUCCCUUCAGGAGUUCAACACUUAUAGCGCUGCUAAGUAAUCUCAAACUGCCGCCACUGUGGCAACCAAAGGCUUGACACCGGAGAAAGUUUUGAUGCUCCCUACCAGUCCUCGCGAGCGCACUGCGGAGGAACUUGGCCAGUCUCGACUCGGAGGUGGUUUCAGAUUGUACGGUUACGAUAGGUAAAAAGGGGAGGGGUUCGUCGAAUGAUUCUCAUAGGCAGGGAGGGUUCCGAAGGGAUACCGAUAGGGAAAUUGCUCCCUCUCGUGCCGACGAGACUGAUGAUUGGGGUGCAGCUAAGAAAACAUCGACUGGUAAUGGUUUUGAAAGAAGGGGGAGAGAGGUGAAAGGGGAGGUUUUUUCUCCGAUUCCCAGUCUAAAGUUGAUGAAUCUGAUAAUUGGGCAGCGAAUAAAGCUUUUGUACCCUCUUCUGGUCGAAGAUUUGAUAGGAGAGGGAGUUUUGAGUCAAACGGUAGUGAUUCCGAUUCGGAUCGGUGGACCAAAAGGAAGGAAGAGGAAGGUGGACGGAGAUUUGCCUCCGGUGGUGGUGCAUUCGACAGUUUAAUAGAAAGAAGAGGUGGGUUAUUGGGUUUAUGGGGCAGGUUGUGGGUUUAUGGGUUAAAAGAAUGGUCAAACGGGUAGUUGGCUAGGAUUAAAACACGUGUACAAAACGAGGGGUUCGUUAGUGAGAGGGGCAUGUGUGUACCGAAAAUUGGACGGCAGGGGCUUAUGUGGACGCAAAGUAUAACGGAGGGCAUAGACGUACCAUUUAUCAAAGUUCGAGGGUAAAUUUGUCCUUUUUCCCUUAAAUAAAAGCUAUGACAUAUUUUUUUACUCUUCUCCCUUUUAAAAUUAAAAUUAUUAGAGAGGCCCCAUGAACUUCUCAUUAUUUAUAAUAUAAAGAUACUAUUAAUUAAACUUCUUUAUAACGGUAUUCAUAUGGUAUUUACUACUAAUUGAAAAGGCUUAUCACAUAUUAGAAAUGAUCUAUAUAAAGCAUUGGUUCUACGUAAUCCACGAAGAGUUUAGCUUUAAAAACUGAGUUUUGUUGGUUGGAUAAUUUUUUUACUCUAUCAAUAGGUUUAACUCAUAAAACUAAAGGCUAGCUAAAUUACAUUUACCACACUUUAAAAGUUUGAAAAUUUAAAUUCAAACUAUAAAACUAUAAAAGUUUAAAUUUCACACUUUAAAAGUUUGAAAAUUUAAAUUCAAACUUUAAAACUAUAAAAGUUUAAAUUUCACACUUUAAAAGUUUGAAAAUUUAAAUUCAAACUUUAAAACUAUAAAAGUUUAAAUUUCACACUUUAAAAGUUUGAAAAUUUAAAUUCAAACUUUAAAACUAUAAAAGUUUAAAUUUCACACUUUAAAAGUUUGAAAAUUUAAAUUCAAACUUUAAAACUAUAAAAGUUUAAAUUUCACACUUUAAAAGUUUGAAAAUUUAAAACUUUAAAACUAUAAAAGUUUAAAUUUCACACUUUAAAAGUUAAAUUUGAACUUUUGAAUAGACAAUAAAAAAAGUUUAAGGCGAAUAGCCUAUACUUUUAUUAAUAUUAAUUAAAUAGUACAAGUUGAGUUACAAAAUAUUAGUAGAGUAUUAAAAAAUCUAAUCUACACAGCCACCUUCUAGGAAGGGUUCUGUUUGAAUUAGACCUCGAAUUAUUAUACUCAUACUAAUAGACAUUUAAAUUUAAUAGUUCAUGNNNNNNNNNNNNNNNNNNNNNNNNNNNNNNNNNNNNNNNNNNNNNNNNNNNNNNNNNNNNNNNNNNNNNNNNNNNNNNNNNNNNNNNNNNNNNNNNNNNNNNNNNNNNNNNNNNNNNNNNNNNNNNNNNNNNNNNNNNNNNNNNNNNNNNNNNNNNNNNNNNNNNNNNNNNNNNNNNNNNNNNNNNNNNNNNNNNNNNNNNNNNNNNNNNNNNNNNNNNNNNNNNNNNNNNNNNNNNNNNNNNNNNNNNNNNNNNNNNNNNNNNNNNNNNNNNNNNNNNNNNNNNNNNNNNNNNNNNNNNNNNNNNNNNNNNNNNNNNNNNNNNNNNNNNNNNNNNNNNNNAUAAUACAAUCUAUCAUAUCAUCAAUAUCAUCUUCAUUAUUAUAUCUACUCCUAGAACUUUGAGGCUCUUCAUUACAUACUACAUUCAUUCGAUUAGAAUCAUAUAAGUCAUACAUUUAUGCAUCAAAAUCAUUUCUAUCAUUAUGAGAAAGUUCAAGAUAACAGUCAAUCAUAUCAUCAAGAUCAUCUUCAUUAUAUCUACUCCUAGAACUUCGAGGCUCUUCAUUACGUACUACAUUCAUUCUAUUAGAAUUAUACAAGUUAUACAAUUUUCUAGCUUCAAUUUUUAUAUUAUCUUUAACAUCUUGGUAAUUAGGUGUUUCAUCUUCUUCACUAUCAAUACCCAAAUUAAAAUAUAUUAUAUCAACCAUUCGUGAUGCACCUUCAUCUUUGUAAAGUGGGUUUAACAAACAAGCGGUUAAAUAAAUUUGAGGAAUAGGAAUAAAAUAUUUUUAAAAUUUUUCAAUCAUUUUCUUAACAGAUUCUUCAAAUCUUGGUUUAUUUUUGAAUUUAUAAAAUUUACUAGAAAUAGACAAAUAUUAGGUAAAACAGAGCAAAUAGUUGGAUGAUAAAGUGCAGAUAUUUUUUUGUAGUUAAAUAAAAAACUUUUAAGAAUUCUAUAAGUUCUUUUAUGUCAUUCCAAUCAUUAUCAUCAAGUCUAUAUGUCAUAUUUGAAUUAUGAGCAUUCCAAAUCAUUUGUAAAGGUUUCCUAUAUUCAUAAGCGACUUCAAGCAUUUCAUAUAAAGAAUUUCAUAUAGUACACACUGAUUUUAGAAUUUUUCUAGGUGGAAGAUUAAAAUUCACGACAACGAUUUUCAAAAUCUCUACGUCUAGACUUAACUUGACAAUUAAAGAUAAAAUGACAUGCAGUUUCAACUUUUAUGCAACCAUCAUUAUACAUUGUUAUACCAUCUCUAACAAUCAAAUUAUAUAUGUGUGCAGCACACCUAAUAUGAAAACCAUCAAUAUAAAUAGGGCAAAGAGACGGUUUUUAGUAUUUCAACAGCAGAUAUAUUAGAAGCAUUAUCUAAGGGUGACACUACUUAUUUUAUCACAAAUUUCAUAGUUUUGUAAAACAUCUAUAAUUAGUUUGAGCUAUAUAACUACCUGUUUUAUGCAUUUCACAACAUUUAUAACCUAAAAUUCUUUUUUGCAAACUCCAUUUUUCAUCAAUCCAAUGUGCAGUAAUAGUGAAAUAAUCAUUACCAUUUACACUACAUCCCAUAUCAGAACUAAUAGCUAUUUUACAAUUAUUAUAAUAAAAUAAACAAUGAAGAUAUUGAAAAUGUUGAGCUUGAUAAUCAAAGAUAGUCCUUUUUAAUUGUAUUUCUAAGUAAAACCUUUAAAAUGUGGAUUAUACACAAUUUGAAUAUAAUGAAUAAAACCAGGAUUUUCAGCAAAUCUAAAUGGCAAACUCAUAACAACAAUCUAUUUUAGCUAAUUCUUCAAGAUUCUUUUCUCUACUAUAUGACCGUUGUAUACUAGAGCCAGAAAUAUUAGAAGGACUUAAUUGUGUUUGGACCAUAUUAGAGCCGCCUACUCUUACAUUUUCAGGAAGGGUGGUACCAUUCUUUUUAGCUUCGGCUACAGCUUUAGCAUGCAAAAAUUCAUUUUUACAACAUGACAUUAAAUGAUUACUCAAAUGUCCCGUCCCACCCUGUUUUCCUACAGUUUUAUGAUUCAUUCUAUGUUUACAUUUAUUACAAAUAGCUUGUGUUUUAUCUUCAUUCUGAGUCAUAAAUUGCCACACAACUGAUUUUUUAGCGCGUUCUACCUUAGGCCUAGGAUGCACGGGGGGAGCGGGAACAGAACAACGAAAGGGAGCGGGAGGGGAAGAGGGACUGGGAGUGGGAGUAGUAGCCAUAACUGGCUCAGUUUCAUCAUCAUCAUAUUCAUCAACAUUAUUAUCAAAACUAUCAAUAUAAUCAUUAACAUCAUCAUCUUCAUCAUCUUCAGGUAAUUCCUCAUCAAAAUUACCAAACAUUCUUUGUAAAUGUUCAUGAUAAGGAUCUAAUCCACUAUUACUAUCAAUAUUAAAAACAGUUUCAUCAACAUGCGUAUAAUCAUCCGUAUUUAUUCUUAAUUGAGAAGUCUUUUUUGUUUUAGACUUAGAAGUACUACCAGUUUUUUUAUUUUUCUUGGAUUUUGAGCUCCAUAAAUUAGUGAUCGAAUCAACUAUGGUUGUUUUACCCUUGUCAACAUUGUUUUUACAGGAAUCCAUAUUCAAAUAUAAAAAGUGAGUAAAUUAUAUAUAAUACGAAAAUGUAAUGCAAAGUUUUAAACAAAUAAAUAACUAAAUAAGUAGAGACUAGAGACUAAUUACUCACAAAAUAAAUAAUUAAAUGCAAACAAAUAAAUAACUAAAUGAAAAGUGAAUUGGAACGAAUGUACCAAACGUCUACUUAAAAAAGUAGACGCGUAUGACCAAAAGCCGAAAAUCGAAAGUUGAAUUUUGAAGCUCCAAUUUCCAAAGACCAAAUUCUUAAUUUUAACAAGAAUAAGAGAUUAGAGAGUAGAAACUUGAGUGAGACUUUUGAGAGUUGUUGAGAGAGUAGAAGAUAAUAUUUUUGUGAGUGAAAAGAAUGAAAGAUUGGGGGUAUUUAUAGUUAAAAAAAAAGGAUGAAAAUGUAGUUUUUAGAAGGUUGGGGUAUUAAAAAAAGUUUGGGGGGAUAGGGGGGUGUAAAGGGGAGUUAUAGGGGUGAAAGAGUCGUUGGUGGGACCCAAAACCCGUUGCCCAACGGCUAUAUUUAACAUUUUAAAAAAAAACCGAACCGGACCGGACCGAGAUCGGAACCGGUAUUUACCGGACCGGGACUAACCAGUAUAUCCCGAUUUCCGUCUCGUUACCCCUCCCGGACCCACUAGACACCGGCCCUAACCGGUACAAACCGGAACGGAACCGGACCGAUAACGGCCCUAACUGGUACAAGACAAAGUAGCAUUAAGUUACGUUAUAGAUGUUUGUUCUAGAUAUUAUAUCGGUGAUGUUCAAGCUAACUUGUGCACACAUCGACUAUUCCACCAUCUCAUACUUGAUAUGUAUUGUCAAUACAAUACGAGAUAACUUUGUCACCAAGCAAUGACAGAUGUAAAGUAAGGCUACUCGAGCACCCAUUAUAUAUAUAAUUUUACCCAAACACUAUUUUUUAUAUUGGAAACUAGCAAUAACAUACAAAGAUAUUGAAUGAGCACCUAACUUUAGAAAGGUAGCAAUUCGAGUAGUUGUUGUUGAGCAUGCAUGACGUAAAAAUUAUAGGUUUGCCAUAGUUGUCAAGAUUUAGGCCGAUGAAAGAAAAUUAACUAGUGUUAUAAUCUUUAGCUAACCAAAAUUGAAAGUCAGUAAAUUCAGAAUGAACGUCAAAGUACAAGAAAAAAUGUAAAAAAGACAUCACCAUUAGAAAACACAAAUAAGAAGAACAGUUUACUAAUAAUCAUACUGCUGCAGAAUUUUGUAGUGUUGAUCACUAGCAAAGCAAACAAAAUUACAUGCAUAAUCAACGCAACGGUCAUAACAUCUAUCUAUAUAUAAAAAGAGAAGAAAAAACACCACAUGUCAGCGCCACAAAUUUUCAGAAAUUUAAAUAAUAAAGUUAGUAAUAAUAAAUGAAAACUGUAAAAAGAAAAUAUGAAAGAUGAGAUUUUAACGUUUUUUGGGGUUCUUUUAAAAAAGAUCGAAUUUGAAAAUUGUAUUUGAGAUUAUUCUUAUUGGUUGAGAUAUAUUUAAUUAUUUAAAAAUUCUAUAACUGAAAGUUACUGUGAUAAAAUUAGUAACUGAAAAAAGAUAAGUAAAAAAAAUACUCCAACAAAAGCAUGUUCCAUCAAAUUCGGAUAAACACGAUUAUCAACCGCUUCAGUUAAAAAAUUCAAAUGGAAAAAACUACCAAAGUCAUUUUUACAGCAACUCCAUCAGCAAAGUUUCAAUGAAAAAGCCAAAAAAAAUAAUCUUAUUGCCAAAGUUUUCCACUAUACAUGAAUGUCCACAAUUGCGAUUUUUGUACCUUUGUUCCAAAGCUUUCCACUAUGAUUUAAUAAAUGGGAUUUUUGUACCUUUGUUCAAAAAGAGGGGCAAUUGCGAUUUUUUGUUGUUGAUAAAGAUGAAUGAAUUCUCCAGUGUAGCAAUGUGUAAGAAACAAUAAGAUUGGAUAUUAUAAUAAUAAUGAAGAUGAAAGUUCAGAACAAGAGGAAGAUGAAGAUUAGGAAAGAAAUCAAAAAGAAGAAGAAGAAUAGCAAGAUCAGCAUUUUGCAUUAUGAAACUGUUCUACUAGCAAUGAUGAGGGAACAAAGAUGAAUGGUGAUUAAUUUUUGGUAUGUUUUUAAGUCAACUAAUGAGUAGCAUUGAAGAAUAAUUGUUCUAAGCAUAAACUAUAACUUAAUUCACUAAAGAUUAAUUAUUAGUUUGAGUUACUAUUAUUUAAAAAGAUCUCAUUAUUUUAUACUUUAAAAAUUAAAGAUUAUGAAUGUAUAUUUGAAACAUAAAAUCUAUUGCUAUUACUUAUGUAUUUUUAUCAAUGCGAAAAUUUAUAAAUAUCUUUCACAUAUUUUUUUAAUUACUAUUUAUAAUAUAAAAAGAUUAAUUUUUUUUUUAAUUGGGAUGACAAAAUAUUUUAAAGUUAAAUCCAAGGUCAUAUGUUGGUAGUUAGCUUAAACAAUACAGAAUAAGAAAUGAAAUUAUGAAUUUUUAAUUUAGAGUGGUAAAAAAUUUAAAACUUUCAUUUGCAUUACUUUCAUAUUCCUCAUUACUCUCCUUUUUGUCAACUACUUCUUUUUUAUAGCAACUUCAAACAGUUGCUGUUUAACUUAUUUCUUCAAGUAGUUUUUCAUCCAAUAAUUAUAUACAAGUAUUAAAUCACUUUAUAUAAUUAUAUAUAAUCAGUAAAUUACUUUUUCUAUUUUCUCCUUUUAAAAACAAAAGAGAUGUCCUUUCUCUUCUUUUUUUUAAUUAAGAAAACAAUUAUGAUUAUGAUACACUUAAAAAUUUAAAUAUAAGAUCAAAUAUUGUCAUUCAACACUAUUUUUUUUUAUAGAAUCCAAAUUAUUUAAGCACUUAGGAAUUUGUUUUGUGGAAAGUUUGAGCAGUUUAAAAUAACUUUCCAUAGCUACUCAUUCUUUAUAGAAAAAAAUAAAACACAAUUGUUUAGAACUCUUUUUUGGUGAGAAGUUAUUAAAUUUUUAAAAGUAAAUAUUUAAACUAAGUGAUAUGUUAAUUAAUAACAUAAUUGGAAUUUCAAAUUAUGUGAACACAAUUAAAUAUGAAAAUUGGGCAGUUAAAUUUAAAAUAAUUAUUACACACACACACACACACAUAUAUAUAUAUAUACAUUUAUCGUGUUGAAGGAAAUCUGUUUUAUUUUAAAUUGAGAAGUUUUCAAACUGAAAAAUAAGUAAAUAUUAAAAAUAUUAAGUAAAAUUGAAUUAAGAAUAUAUCACACUGCAUUUUUAAGAUAAUGCUCCAUAAAGUUAGGAACAAAAAGAAUAUUUGAAAAAGAAAAUUGAAAAAAAAAGGGUAUUAAAGAAUUUCGUAAUAAAUAAGAUUUACGCAUGUUUUUGACACAUUAUUGAUUUAUUUAAGUGAAAUAUUUAUAUAAUAAAUAAUAAUGAUGUUUAACAUGUUUUGGACGAUAUAAAUGGUUAAUAACUUAAUAUAAUAAUGAAAUAACAAUUGAGAUUUUACUAAAUCUCUAUAUACAUAUUUGUUUAAAUAAGUCAACUUAGAUGAUUUAGACAUUUUUUACAUAAUAUUAUCCGUGCAUCGCGCGGGUACGAAUACUAUUUUAUUUAAUAAGAAGUGGAGAUGGAAUAAGCUAAGUAUCAUUAAUUAAUAAAAUGUAUAAUGUAUUAAAUAGUAUAUAAUUAAUUAAAUUAGACCUAUGUCUAGUAUUUUGUUGAGAAAAUUAUUAGCACUAAGUUAUUAACAUGUUGUAGGGACACCAUUUAAUAUUAUCCACUUUUGUUCAAAUCUACAUAUACUUUCAUCUCUACCAAAAAACCCUAAUACCUGCAAACCCUAACCUCAGUAGCAGCGGCCAUGGCCAUGGCCAUAACCACCAUCGGUGAGACCAACCCCCCGAAGGGUUUUUCCCCAUUAACUUAGCAAGACAAUCCGAACCCUAUGCAACCUAACUCUGCAGGUCUAAUCCAAUGCAAUAUGCGACCAUUCUUAAACCAAGUUAUUAAUCUGACAUUAUAGAAUUGAGGAGGACAAUACUAGGUCAAUGUGGAAUCAAGAGUGAGUGCAUAAUAGAAGUCUUGGAUACAAGACAUAUACUGAUCAGACUCACGAACUUGGAAGAUUAUGUGUAUCUACUAUUUACAACAACUUUAUAUGUGAAAGCUAGAGAGAAUUAUUAGCAUAUAAGAACCCUUAAAUGUGAUCCAUAGUUUUAACUUGACGUAAAAACAACGAUCGGAGUGGCAUGGAUAUCCUUUCCUAAUCUAUCACUAAAUCAUUUUUUCAAGGAGGCAAUUUUCUCGAUACCACCAGCAGUGGAUUAACCACUAACGAUUGACAUAGCCAUGAAAAAUCGAACUAGACCUAGUUAUGCUAAAGUCAAAAUAGAGAUGGCCAAAUUACCACAAGGGUUAGAACCACUAAGGAGAAUGAUAUCACGAGGGUUAUAAAAUACAAAUAGAUUAAGGUGCAAUAUGACUACAUGCCCAAAUACUGUAAAAAAAAAUAUUGUUAGCAAGAUCAUAAUGACCAUAGUUGUCAGAGAACUCAUCCAAAAUUAUAUGAAACAAGGGAGCAGGAAAUAGGAAAAAGAUGGCAUCAAAACGUUGAAGACAUAUAGUGGGGGGAACAUAACAGAGUUUUGAUAAGUGGAAUAGUGGUAGGAAAGAAUGGAUGGUCAGAAGAAGGAAUAAGUAUAAGAGGGAUAAAUAUGGGAACAUUAAAGGGGGAAAUGACAUUCAAGAUGAGAAUUCCUUCGAGGCAAUGAAGGGUGAGGAAGAGUUGGACAAAGUGGAAGAGGAAGUUAAAAAUAUUGAAGGAAGCACAAAAGAAUAUGUGAACUAAAACUUUGAUAAAAUACAACAGGAGACCAUUCAGAAAGAAGGGGAGGAGAAAGUUGAUACAAAUGGGACCAACAUGAGUCGGGACAAUAAGGCAGAAAGAAAACAGGAAAGGAAAGUAGAGUUAUCACCACAACAUAAUCCAAGUGAAGAAGAUGCAAAUAUAGAAGGAGGAGGAGAAUAUAGAGAAAGCCUUAGUUAGUGGUAGCGAAAGUUAAUAAUAAAUGAGCUGGUGGUAGAUCAUGGCAGUCAUGAAGAAGUAUUGGAACCAAAAAAGGGGAAGUAUGGACAAACAUGAUUUAUCACAAAACAAUUCAAAGGUGACUAGAGAAGGAGAUUUGCCGCUUGAACAAAUAGACAGAAUAAAGGAGACUCGUGUCAAGCAAAGGAAACAAGGAGGAGAAGAAAUCACUACUAUUCAAGCAUCAUCAAGACAAUCAAAGAGAACAAUUGUCAAAAACGCUAAAUAUCUGUGAGAACCUUAAUAUGGAAUAUCAGGUUGGCAAACACUCAAAACAUGCAUGUUUACUAGACUGAUAAAUAUGCAUGAAAGAUACCAAUUUUACAUGACUGGAUUUAUAGAAUCUUUUGAAGAUAGUCAACAACUAGAGUAGCUUAGAAGGAAGUUGGGGAUGAAGUAGGCAAAGGCGGACACAAAUUGUAAAAUUUGGGUUUUUAUUGAUGAAAUUGUGGAAUAUGAAAUAGUAAGGGAUGAAGAGAAAAUGAUAAAUUUUAAACUGCAAAAUCAAGCAUUAGGCAUUGAAGUGAUGAUAUCACUAGUGUAUGUUAACUGUACACAAAGUGAAAGAUUGCAAUCAUGGAAUUUGAUGUCUAAUAUCAGUACUAAUGAGGAAAAAUUGGGGGGUAACAGAGAUGGAGGUUAGAGAUUUUAAUCAUUGUCUUAAUGUGUGUAAUCUGAAAGAUAAAAAAAAUUCAAGGGUAGCAAGUACACAUGGUGGAAUAGCAGAACUGAUACAGAGUGUAUUUUCAAAAGAUUGGACACGGGUAGUGAGUAAUGAUAGAUUGAUAACUAUUUUUCUGAUUCUUGAGGUGGAACAUGUGGUGAGAAAUGAGUCGGAUCAUACUUCUUUAGUGAUCACUUUCAAAAAAAAUAAAGAGAAUGUGAUUAAGCCCUUUAAAUUACUAAAUAUUUGGUUAAGCGAGAAGUCUUUCAUGAAGGUGAUAAAAGAACAUUGGCAUGUUAAUUUUGAAGGGGAGUUGUUUAGUUUAUUUCAUCAUACAUUGAAAAAGGUGAAGAAAGUAUUGACUCAAUGGAGUAAGGACACUUCUGCAAUAUUUUCUUAGGAGAUAAUCACUUUAGAAGAAGUCAUUAAAGUACAUGAAUCUCAUAUUGAAGUGGAUCCGUCUAGAGCUAAUAAAGAGAAAUUGUAUCAAGCCCAAGCAGAGUUAAAGAAGCAACUGUUUAGGGAGAAAGAAUUCUGAAAACAGAAAAAGUAGCAUAAAGUGGUUUAAAAGUGGGGGGCUGCCAAGAUUCUCCACGCACAAAAACUUAAUCCUAUUAAGAAAAUUAUUGUGAAUAAUUUCUCAAACUCGCGGCCUAUUUUGUUAAGUAAUUUCAUGAUUAAGGUCUUUUGAAGAAUUAUUCAUGAGAGGCUUAAAACAGUAUUGUCCAGGAUUAUCUCUUUAGAACAAGUUGAUUUUGUACAAGGAAGGAGUAUAACUAAAAAUGUUUUAUUAAUGCAAAAAAUUAUUUUAGAGAUUCGGAAAAGAGGUAAGCCAUCAAACUUGUAUAUGAUGAAAGCAUAUGAUAGAGUUGAGUGGUUAUUUUUGAUGAAGGUGUUCAGAAGGAUUGGCUUUUGAGAGAGGAUCAUUGAUAUGGUCUAUAAGGUUGGUUAGUAAUAACUAGUACUCAGUUUUACUGAAUGGACAACCUAAAGGCUUCUUUAAAUCUUUUAGAGGAAUUAAGUAGGGAGAUCCUCUAUCCCCUACUCUUUUUAUACUUGCAGCUGAAGUAAUGUUUUGUCAGUAAUGAAUUCAUCAAGCAAUGUUCUAAACCAAAUUCAAUGAUGACUGAAUUCUUUUGCACUGAAGGUAGAUGACAUUUGCAACACCCAGUAAAUGUAAAGGUCAGUUGGAAGGUGAAAGGGUUGUAGAUUGGUGUAAAAAGUUGCACAUGUACAGACUGUAGAAGGUUGUAUGGAUCUUGAGUACCAAUCAUGGUUUGAUAGUUGAAAAUAUGGAAAAUGUCAAGUCUCAUAUGUAUUCCACGAGCCAACAGUAUGGUUCGUGAAUGGAUCUACGAGUUGUGGAUGGAGUUCCACACUGAGUGAUAUUUUGACACCUUGAGUUUUAUACAUAGCUUGUACGGACCAUACACUGAAAUACGGGACGUAAAGGACUCUCGUAGUUGGUCUUUAGAAAGUUAAGUACUCUCAAUGAUUCGUUUACGACUUUCCAGUACAACCCGUCAAAAAAGGUACAAACCAAACUUGACAUUAAUGGUUCGUAGGCCUAAGGAUAUAUGCCUCUGACUUAGGGUCAGUAUACAAGAAAGGGUACGACUCGUGGUUUCCAUGACGGGUUUCUAGUUAGUGAUCCAUGUAGGACAAGUACGAUAUGUGGCCUAACGUACGGACCGUACAUGGGUCUGUAGAGUAUCAUUAUCUCAACAAAAAAAUAGUUAUUUUUAAAAAUUAAAAAAUGAAAGUAUCUUUAGUUGUUAGUUAAAAAAUAAAAAAUUAAAGUAUUAUUGUCUCAACAAAAAUUAUUCUUACCCCACUCCAUCACCUCCUCCCACCGUACCCUUAAUACACCCCACAUCUAUUUUUUUUUAAAAAAACUUUAAUUUUCUUUUACAAAAGGCAUUUUAAAAGAAUAUUUCUCCAUCCCCAAACCCACCUAAUCCUUCACUUUCUUUUUUGUAUUUCUCAUUUUGUUUUAGAUAUAUACAUAUGUUUUUAAGUAAUUAUUCUAUUUACCACAAGAUAUUUUAAUAAAUAAACUAUUCAUUUCUAUUAUAUUUGUUAUCUAAGUAAAAAUAAAAUAAAAAUAAUAUAUAUAUAUAUAACAUGAAAAAAUAAUAUUAAAAAAUUGAGAACAUAGGGAUAAAUAAGGUGGGGUAGAAGUUGGUUUUAAAAAAAAUAAAAAUGAUAUCUAAAAAUAUUGGGAAGGAUUGGUUGGUUUGGGGAGGGAGGUCGAAGUAAAAAAAAAAUAGAAAACAAUCGAGUAAGGAGAGGAGGGGAGGGGGUAAUGUCGAGGGAUACAGGAGGUUGGGGGCUGGGGGGAGAUGGAGGAGUGGGUAAGAAAAAUAUUUUAAAUUUUAUUUUAUCGAAUAAUAAUUUCUUUUUUAUUAGAUAGCAAUAUUUUAGUUUUUAGCUUUUAAUUAAUAUUAAUAGUUUAUUUAAUUUUUAUUCAGGUGGAAUAUUUUAUCAAGGUAGAAUGCCAUGUGACGAGGCUUUUUUUAAAUAAAGGAGAGUAUAUUACACAUCAAUGAGGUAUAUUUUUCAAACUAAUAAGUGAUAGUUUAAGUAUGAAACUCGUUUAAGUGUGUUUUUGACACUUCCCCUUUAAAUAACUAAAUUAACAGCACAAAACAAUAGUAAAAUAAUGUAGAAUUGCUUUUGAAAUAUGUACAUGAGACAUUUGCCCUCUACCACCAAAAAGUACAGAGAAAUAUACUAUUCAAACCAGCAAAAAAACUUUUGCCAUUACCCACCAGUUCACCAAAUUGUCAAAAGACAAUACCAAUUAAAUCUCUAAAGUUGUGGCACUGCAGGGGGGUUAUACGACAUAACCAGGUAGACGGUGCUGAAUUCGUGCAAACUGCAACGUGUAGAGCUAUGUUCUUUAGACCCGUUUUCGUAUAAGCUAAAAUCUCCAUGUGCAAUUUCUCCGUUACAAUAGGUUCCUGAGAAGGUAACCCCAGGGAAGUUCUCCAAGAAAGGUGAG